AGAGAUUCUGCUAACAUUAUAUGGGUGAUGCUGGUGCUGAGUAUGUUGUGGAGUCUACUGGCAUCUUCACUAUGAUGAAGAAGGCUGGGUCUCACUUGAAGGGUGGAGCCAAAAAGAUCAUAAUCUUUGCCCCUUCUGCUGAUGCCCCCAUGUUUGUGAUGGGUGUGAACCACUAGAAAUAUGACAACUCACUCAAGAUUGUCAGCAAUGCAUCCUGUACCACCAACUGCUUAGGCCCCUGGCCAAGGUCAUGCAACUUUGGCAUUGUGGAAAGGUUCAUGACAAUGGUCCAUGCUCACUGCCACUCAGAAGACUGUGGAUGGCCCCUCUGGAAAGCUGUGGCAGGAUGGCUGUGGGGCUGCCCAGAACAUCAUCCCUACAUCCACUGGUGCUACCAAAGCUGUAAGCAAGGUCAUCCCAGAGCUGAACAGGAAGCUCCCUGGCAUGGACUUCCAUGUUCCUACCCCCAAUGUAUCUGUUGUGGAUCUUACAUUCUGCCUGGAGAAACCUGCCAAGUAUGAUGACAUCAAGAAGUUGGUUAAGCAAGCAUCUGCGUGCCCACUGUAGGGCAUCCUGGGCUACCCUGAGGACCAGGUUGUCUCCUGUGACUUCAACAGCAACUCCCACCCUUCCACCUUUGAUGCUGGGGCUGGCACUGCUCUCAAUGACAACUUUGUAAAGCUCAUUUCCUGGUAUGACAAUGAAUAUGUCUACAGCAACAGGGUGGUAGAGCUCAUGGCCUCCAAGGAGUAA
This 753-nucleotide long non-coding RNA is filed under the name Mus musculus (house mouse). Its description in RNAcentral is "long non-coding RNA chr13:68810079-68810832". Lineage: Eukaryota; Metazoa; Chordata; Mammalia; Rodentia; Muridae. The record is from RNAcentral.